AACGAACGUUGGCGGCGUGGAUUAGGCAUGCAAGUCGAGCGAUCGUAGCAAUACGGGAGCGGCAAACGGGGUAGGAAUACAUCGGAACGUACCUUUUGGUUGAGAAUAGCGUUGGGAAACUGACGGUAAUACUCAAUAAAGUCGAGAGACCAAAGGUUUACUGCCGGAAGAGCGGCCGAUGCGAUAUUAGGUAGUUGGUGGGGUAAUGGCCUACCAAGCCUGAGAUGUCUAGGGGGUGUGAGAGCAUGGCCCCCACCACUGGGACUGAGAUACUGCCCAGACACCUACGGGUGGCUGCAGUCGAGGAUCUUCGUCAAUGGGCGAAAGCCUGAACGAGCGACGCCGCGUGGGGGAUGAAGGUCUUCGGAUUGUAAACCCCUUUCGGGAGGGAAGAUGGAGUGGGUAACCACUUGGACGGUACCUCCAGAAGCAGCCACGGCUAACUUCGUGCCAGCAGCCGCGGUAAU
This 467-nucleotide ribosomal RNA is filed under the name uncultured bacterium. RNAcentral describes it as "bacterial SSU rRNA". It matches the Rfam family "Bacterial small subunit ribosomal RNA", at positions 29 to 524 of the family's 1533-position model. The record is from RNAcentral.